CCAGGCUCUACGGGGCGCAGCAGGCGCGAAAACUGUGCAAUGCGCGAAAGCGCGACACGGGGAACCUGAGUGCCUUGACACAGUCAAGGCUUUUAUCAAGCCUAAAAAGCUUGAUGAAUAAGAGCUGGGUAAGACGGGUGCCAGCCGCCGCGGUAACACCCGCAGCUCUAGUGGUGGUCACUUUUAUUGAGCCUAAAGCGUUCGUAGCCGGUUCUGUAAAUCUUCAGAUAAAUUCAUUCGCUCAACGGAUGAUCUUCUGAAGAGACUGUAGAACUUGGGACCGGGUGAGGUUGAAUGUACUUCCGGGGUAGGGGUAAAAUCCUGUAAUCCUGGAAGGACAACCGGUGGCGAAGGCGUUCAACUAGAACGGAUCCGACGGUGAGGAACGAGGGCUAGGGGAGCAAACCGGAUUAGAUACCCGGGUAGUCCUAGCUGUAAACACUGCCCACUUGGUGUUGCCUCUCUGUUGAAGGGGGGCAGUGCCGGAGCGAAGGUGUUAAGUGGGCCGCUUGGGGAGUAUGGUCGCAAGGCUGAAACUUAAAGGAAUUGGCGGGGGAGCACCGCAACGGGAGGAGCGUGCGGUUUAAUUGGAUUCAACGCCGGAAAACUCACCGGGAGCGACCUUUGGAUGAGAGUCAACCUGAUGAGUUUACUCGAUAGAAGGAGAGGUGGUGCAUGGCCGUCGUCAGCUCGUACCGUAGGGCGUUCACUUAAGUGUGAUAACGAGCGAGACCCCCAUCUCUAAUUGCAAGUAUGUCUUUGCGGACAUGCGCACUUUAGAGGGACCGCCAGCGCUAAGCUGGAGGAAGGAGGGGUCGACGGCAGGUCAGUACGCCCCGAAUCUCCCGGGCUACACGCGCGCUACAAAGGACAGGACAAUGAGUUGCAACCUCGAAAGGGGGAGCUAACCUCGAAACCUGUUCGUAGUUAGGAUUGAGGGCUGUAACUCGCCCUCAUGAAUGUGGAUUCCGUAGUAAUCGCGGGUCAACAGCCCGCGGUGAAUAUGCCCCUGCUCCUUGCACACACCGCCCGU
This 1033-nucleotide ribosomal RNA is filed under the name uncultured archaeon. RNAcentral's name for it is "bacterial SSU rRNA". It matches the Rfam family "Archaeal small subunit ribosomal RNA", at positions 316 to 1353 of the family's 1478-position model. The record is from RNAcentral.